This 247-nucleotide ribosomal RNA is filed under the name uncultured bacterium. Its description in RNAcentral is "partial 16S ribosomal RNA". It matches the Rfam family "Bacterial small subunit ribosomal RNA", at positions 1255 to 1500 of the family's 1533-position model. The record is from RNAcentral.
AGGCGACUGGGCGCGGAACCUGAAAAACCUGUCUCAGUUCGGAUCGGAGUCUGCAACCCGACUCCGUGAAGCUGGAUUCGCUAGUAAUCGCGCAUCAGCCAUGGCGCGGUGAAUACGUUCCCGGGUCUUGUACACACCGCCCGUCACACCAUGGGAGUCGGAAAUGCCCGAAGUCUGUGACCCAACCUUAGGGAGGGAGCAGCCGAAGGCAGGUCGGAUGACUGGGGUGAAGUCGUAACAAGGUACC